AAAUUCUUACAUAUAUAACCUUUAACUGCUGCAGAAGAGGAUCAGCCGUUUGAAAUGUCAGCAGACUCACACCUCCUUGGGAAGUUCCAGAUUGGUUAUUACACACAAAUCUGCCAGAGUUUGCAGCAAAGGAGGAAUGAGGAGGAGGAACUGCACUUCAAAUCGUGUGGAAAGAUCAAUUAAAUCAGAGUCAUGACACUGCUGGGCUCUUGCAAAAGAAAGACUACAUCAGACUGAUGUCCAGCGGUGAUGAAGUCUUUACUAAGGUUACCGCAACUUUGAAACAUCUCAUAGCACCAUGUUGUUCAAAACAUAGCCCAC
This is a long non-coding RNA of Thunnus maccoyii (southern bluefin tuna), 321 nucleotides long. RefSeq lists it as uncharacterized. The record is from RefSeq and is a predicted model, not a curated record. The transcript has 3 exons. Lineage: Eukaryota; Metazoa; Chordata; Actinopteri; Scombriformes; Scombridae.